RNAcentral lists this ribosomal RNA (254 nucleotides) under uncultured prokaryote. RNAcentral describes it as "partial 16S ribosomal RNA". It matches the Rfam family "Bacterial small subunit ribosomal RNA", at positions 525 to 777 of the family's 1533-position model. The record is from RNAcentral.
ACGGGGGGAGCAAGCGUUGUUCGGAUUUACUGGGCGUAAGGGGCGCGUAGGCGGCCACCGCAAGUCGACUGUGAAAUCUCUGGGCUUAACCCAGAAAGGUCAGCCGAUACUGCGGGGCUAGAGUGCGGAAGGGGCAACUGGAAUUCUCGGUGUAGCGGUGAAAUGCGUAGAUAUCGAGAGGAACACCGGUGGCGAAGGCGGGUCUCUGGGCCGAUACUGACGCUGAGGAGCGAAAGCGUGGGGAGCGAACAGGA